AAAGCAAGACCCACUAUGGAAAUAGUUGAUUUUGGGGGAAUGGCAUAGAUUUGAAUGAGCGGGUUACUAAAAAUGUUGGGAAAACCCUUAUUUUUGGAGCAAUAGCAUAGAUUUGAACGAGCGGAUUACUAAGGAAAACCCUUUUUCUUGGGGGCUAUAGCAUAGAUUUGAAUGAGCGGAUUACUAAAAAUGUUUGGGAUCCUGGGUCGUAUUCCCCAAAGCCGAACCCCACGUUUUUCUGGGUUGUAUUCCACUCGGCAGAGACAGUAAUUUCGGCACUGUCCCGCUCAUCACAGCCUCCGCGUUUCCUCCCAGUAAUAUACAACCGUGAAUCCGGCUCAUCUAUUCCAAUCGAACGAACUGAUCGUGUAAUGAUGAAACCUGCAAAUUCACCAUGCUCAGGAACAGUUGGCGCGCCUGAAGUUGCUCUAGCCAAUAACUAAAAAAGAUAAGUAGAAAUAGAAUUUGCAUUUUGCUAAAUUAUGCAAUACUCACUAUUUAUCCUACAAAGAGUUCUAUAUAAAUACAAAUUAUAAUGCUCAUCAUAGUUACUGCGCAAUGUUUUAGAAGCCAUGAGUAUGGGACUAAGCUAUGGGCUGGUGCAAAUGAGUUGUGUAGCUCUUAAAUUUUGCAGGGAUGCUGGAUUCCAAAAACUGGUGCUGGAAUGCUCCAACGGGGAAUUGGUGACUCUUGUAUUCCUCAUGUGAAUCUAAAGGAAAAGGUCAUGCCACCAUGGUAAGGUCACAAGACAAGCCAAAAUUAUUAUUACAUGAGACAUGGAGCCAACUAAAAAUUAUCAUGAGACUUGACUACAUUUGUUCUCUUUGUAAUAAUUUUGACUACUAAUAUAAUGUUUUAAUUGUUUGUAGAGAAAAACGUCAUGCUAUCAUCGGUAUAGUCUCCAUUCAAGAAUCAAGAACCCAGGGAAUUCACAAGACAAUCCAAAAUUAUUAUUACAUGAGACAUGGAGCCAACUUAAAAUUAUCAUGAGACUUGUCUACGUUUGUUCUCUUUGUAAUAAUUUUGACUUGGGGCCAAUUGAAAGUUAUGUAAUAAUUUUACAUGCUUAAACUCUGAAGGAUAGUUUUAAGUUUUAACAGUCUUGUAAUGCAUUAGGACCUAAUUCUAAUUCAAUUUCUUGAAGGCAUUUGGUGAGU
Long non-coding RNA from Quercus lobata, 1157 nucleotides. RefSeq lists it as uncharacterized. The transcript has 3 exons. Lineage: Eukaryota; Viridiplantae; Streptophyta; Magnoliopsida; Fagales; Fagaceae. The record is from RefSeq and is a predicted model, not a curated record.